RNAcentral lists this ribosomal RNA (897 nucleotides) under uncultured Thermoplasmatales archaeon. RNAcentral describes it as "bacterial SSU rRNA". It matches the Rfam family "Archaeal small subunit ribosomal RNA", at positions 1 to 906 of the family's 1478-position model. Lineage: Archaea; Methanobacteriati; Thermoplasmatota; Thermoplasmata; Thermoplasmatales. The record is from RNAcentral.
UCUGGUUGAUCCUGCCAGAGGUCACCGCUCUUGGAGUACGAUUAAGCCAUGCGAGUCGCGAGGGGUAAGCCCUCGGCGUACUGCUCAGUAACACGCGGAUAAUCUGCCCUGAGGCGGGGGAUAAGCUCGGGAAACUGAGUAUAAUACCCCAUAGGCUCCGGAAACUGGAAUGUUCUGUAGCUGAAAGCUCCGGCGCCUCAGGAUGAGUCUGCGGCCUAUCAGCCUGUAGUUGGUGUAACGGACCAACUAAGCAUUAACGGGUACGGGCUUUGGGAGAAGUUGCCCGGAGAUGGUUCUGAGACACGAACCCAGUCCCUACGGGGCGCAGCAGGCGCGAAAACUUCGCAAUGUGGGAAACCACGACGAGGGAAUCCCAAGUGCCAACGAUUUUCCGUUGGCUGUUGCCCUGUCUAAAAAACAGGGAGAGUAAGGGCUGGGUAAGACGGGUGCCAGCCGCCGCGGUAAUACCCGCGGCCCGAGUGGUGCUCGUUAUUAUUGGGUUUAAAACGUCCGUAGCCGGUCCGGUAAAUUCUUGGGUAAAUCGACUGGCUUAACCAGUCGAAUUCCGGGGAGACUGCCGGACUCGGGACCGGGGGAGGUCGGAGGUACUUCCAGGGUAGGGGUGAAAUCCUGUAAUCCUGGGGGGACCACCAGUGGCGAAGGCGUCCGACCAGAACGGCUCCGACGGUAAGGGACGAAGCCCUGGGGCGCAAACGGGAUUAGAUACCCCGGUAGUCCAGGGUGUAAACGCUGCGGGCUUGGUGUCGGGGGUCCUAUGAGGGCUCUCGGUGCCGGAGUGAAAAUGUUAAGCCUGCUACCUGGGGAGUACGGUCGCAAGACUGAAACUUAAAGGAAUUGGCGGGGGAGCACCACAAGGGGUGAAGCUUGCGGUUUAAU